RNAcentral lists this microRNA precursor (67 nucleotides) under Bombyx mori (domestic silkworm). Its description in RNAcentral is "mir-2774 microRNA precursor family". It matches the Rfam family "mir-2774 microRNA precursor family". The record is from Rfam by way of RNAcentral. Lineage: Eukaryota; Metazoa; Arthropoda; Insecta; Lepidoptera; Bombycidae.
ACAACAUUUGGACCGUCGGUCUACCGAGCAAUUCACCCGCUCGGUGGAAGAUCUUUCCUUUCGUCGU